RNAcentral lists this ribosomal RNA (254 nucleotides) under uncultured bacterium. RNAcentral describes it as "partial 16S ribosomal RNA". It matches the Rfam family "Bacterial small subunit ribosomal RNA", at positions 524 to 776 of the family's 1533-position model. The record is from RNAcentral.
UACGUAGGGGGCAAGCGUUGUCCGGAUUCAUUGGGCGUAAAGAGCUCGUAGGCGGUUCGGCAAGUCGGGUGUGAAAACUCCAGGCUCAACCUGGAGACGCCACCCGAUACUGCUGUGACUUGAGUCCGGUAGGGGACCACGGAAUUCCUGGUGUAGCAGUGAAAUGCGUAGAGAUGUGGAGGAACACCGAUGGCGAAGGCGGCCCACUGGUCCGGUACUGACGCUGAGGUGCGAAAGCGUGGGGAGCAAACAGG